Molecule: ribosomal RNA, 391 nt
Filed under: uncultured bacterium
Lineage: Bacteria
Description: bacterial SSU rRNA
Rfam family: Bacterial small subunit ribosomal RNA
Source: RNAcentral
GAUGAACGCUGGCGGCGUGCUUAACACAUGCAAGUCGAACGGAGUUAUUUGAAAGCUUGCUUUUGAAUAACUUAGUGGCGGACGGGUGAGUAACGCGUGGGUGACCUGCCUUAUACUGGGGGAUAACACUUAGAAAUAGGUGCUAAUACCGCAUAAGCGCACAGUUCUGCAUGGAACAGUGUGAAAAACUCCGGUGGUAUAAGAUGGACCCGCGUCUGAUUAGCUAGUUGGUGAGGUAACGGCCCACCAAGUCAACGAUCGGUAGCCGACCUGAGAGGGUGAUCGGCCACAUUGGAACUGAGACACGGUCCAAACUCCUACGGGAGGCAGCAGUGGGGAAUAUUGGGGCAAUGGGCAAAGCCUGACCCAGCAACGCCGCGUGAAGGAAGAA